UACGAAGGGGGCUAGCGUUGUUCGGAAUCACUGGGCGUAAAGGGCGCGUAGGCGGCCGAUCAAGUCGGGGGUGAAAGCCUGUGGCUCAACCACAGAAUUGCCUUCGAUACUGUUUGGCUUGAGACCGGAAGAGGUAAGUGGAACUGCGGGUGUAGAGGUGAAAUUCGUAGAUAUUCGCAAGAACACCAGUGGCGAAGGCGGCUUACUGGUCCGGUUCUGACGCUGAGGCGCGAAAGCGUGGGGAGCAAACAGG
RNAcentral lists this ribosomal RNA (253 nucleotides) under uncultured bacterium. RNAcentral's name for it is "partial 16S ribosomal RNA". It matches the Rfam family "Bacterial small subunit ribosomal RNA", at positions 524 to 776 of the family's 1533-position model. The record is from RNAcentral.